GGAGGGGUGUCCGAGUGGUUUAAGGUGCUGCUCUCGAAAAGCAGUAGACGAAAGUCUCGUGGGUUCGAAUCCCACCCCCUCCGCCA
Molecule: transfer RNA, 86 nt
Filed under: Dehalococcoidia bacterium
Lineage: Bacteria; Bacillati; Chloroflexota; Dehalococcoidia
Description: tRNA-Ser
Rfam family: tRNA
About the family: Transfer RNA (tRNA) molecules are approximately 80 nucleotides in length. Their secondary structure includes four short double-helical elements and three loops (D, anti-codon, and T loops). Further hydrogen bonds mediate the characteristic L-shaped molecular structure. tRNAs have two regions of fundamental functional importance: the anti-codon, which is responsible for specific mRNA codon recognition, and the 3' end, to which the tRNAs corresponding amino acid is attached (by aminoacyl-tRNA synthetases). tRNAs cope with the degeneracy of the genetic code in two manners: having more than one tRNA (with a specific anti-codon) for a particular amino acid; and 'wobble' base-pairing, i.e. permitting non-standard base-pairing at the 3rd anti-codon position.
Source: RNAcentral